UACGGAGGUGGCUAGCGUUGUUCGGAAUUACUGGGCGUAAAGCGCGUGUAGGCGGUAUCGUAAGUCCGAGGUGAAAGGCGGAGGCUCAACCUCGGAGCUGCCUCGGAAACUGGGAGUCUUGAGUGUGGGAGAGGGGCGUGGAAUUCCUGGUGUAGAGGUGAAAUGCGUAGAGAUCAGGUGGAACACCGGUGGCGAAGGCGGCGCCCUGGCCGAACAUUGACGCUGAGACGCGAAAGCGCGGGGAGCAAACGGG
Molecule: ribosomal RNA, 253 nt
Filed under: uncultured bacterium
Lineage: Bacteria
Description: partial 16S ribosomal RNA
Rfam family: Bacterial small subunit ribosomal RNA
Source: RNAcentral